RNAcentral lists this ribosomal RNA (492 nucleotides) under uncultured bacterium. RNAcentral's name for it is "partial 16S ribosomal RNA". It matches the Rfam family "Bacterial small subunit ribosomal RNA", at positions 29 to 507 of the family's 1533-position model. The record is from RNAcentral.
AGUGAACGCUGGCGGUAGGCCUAACACAUGCAAGUCGAACGGCAGCACAGUAAGAGCUUGCUCUUACGGGUGGCGAGUGGCGGACGGGUGAGGAAUACAUCGGAAUCUACUUUUUCGUGGGGGAUAACGUAGGGAAACUUACGCUAAUACCGCAUACGACCUACGGGUGAAAGCAGGGGAUCUUCGGACCUUGCGCGAUUGAAUGAGCCGAUGUCGGAUUAGCUAGUUGGCGGGGUAAAGGCCCACCAAGGCGACGAUCCGUAGCUGGUCUGAGAGGAUGAUCAGCCACACUGGAACUGAGACACGGUCCAGACUCCUACGGGAGGCAGCAGUGGGGAAUAUUGCGCAAUGGGCGCAAGCCUGAUCCAGCCAUACCGCGUGGGUGAAGAAGGCCUUCGGGUUGUAAAGCCCUUUUGUUGGGAAAGAAAAGCAGCAUAUUAAUACCCCGCUGUUCUGACGGUACCCAAAGAAUAAGCACCGGCUAACUUCGUG